UAGGGAAUAUUGGACAAUGGACGCAAGUCUGAUCCAGCCAUCCCGCGUGAAGGAUUAAGGCCCUAUGGGUUGUAAACUUCUUUUCUUUGGGAAUAAAAAGCGGUAUUCAUAUCGCCUUGAAGGUACCAGAGGAAUAAGCACCGGCUAACUCCGUGCCAGCAGCCGCGGUAAUACGGAGGGUGCAAGCGUUAUCCGGAUUCACUGGGUUUAAAGGGUGCGUAGGUGGCUUUGUAAGUCAGCGGUGAAAGCCUGGAGCUCAACUCCAGAAUUGCCAUUGAUACUGCAGAGCUUGAAUCAAGUUGAGGUGGAUGGAAUAUUACAUGUAGCGGUGAAAUGCUUAGAUAUGUAAUAGAACACCGAUUGCGAAGGCAGUUCACUAAGCUUGUAUUGACACUGAGGCACGAAAGCGUGGGGAUCAAACAGG
Molecule: ribosomal RNA, 424 nt
Filed under: uncultured bacterium
Lineage: Bacteria
Description: bacterial SSU rRNA
Rfam family: Bacterial small subunit ribosomal RNA
Source: RNAcentral